GAUGAACGCUGGCGGCGUGCCUAAUACAUGCAAGUCGAGCGAACGGACGAGAAGCUUGCUUCUCUGAUGUUAGCGGCGGACGGGUGAGUAACACGUGGAUAACCUACCUAUAAGACUGGGAUAACUUCGGGAAACCGGAGCUAAUACCGGAUGAUAUUUUGAACCGCAUGGUUCAAAAGUGAAAGACGGUCUUGCUGUCACUUAUAGAUGGAUCCGCGCUGCAUUAGCUAGUUGGUAAGGUAACGGCUUACCAAGGCAACGAUGCAUAGCCGACCUGAGAGGGUGAUCGGCCACACUGGAACUGAGACACGGUCCAGACUCCUACGGGAGGCAGCAGUAGGGAAUCAUCCGCAAUGGGCGAAAGCCUGACGGAGCAACGCCGCGUGAGUGAUGAAGGUCUUCGGAUCGUAAAACUCUGUUAUUAGGGAAGAACAUAUGUGUAAGUAACUGUGCACAUCUUGACGGUACCUAAUCAGAAAGCCACGGCUAACUACGUG
Molecule: ribosomal RNA, 497 nt
Filed under: uncultured bacterium
Lineage: Bacteria
Description: partial 16S ribosomal RNA
Rfam family: Bacterial small subunit ribosomal RNA
Source: RNAcentral